RNAcentral lists this ribosomal RNA (492 nucleotides) under uncultured bacterium. RNAcentral describes it as "partial 16S ribosomal RNA". It matches the Rfam family "Bacterial small subunit ribosomal RNA", at positions 29 to 507 of the family's 1533-position model. The record is from RNAcentral.
AGUGAACGCUGGCGGUAGGCCUAACACAUGCAAGUCGAACGGCAGCACAGUAAGAUCUUGCUCUUACGGGUGGCGAGUGGCGGACGGGUGAGGAAUACAUCGGAAUCUACUUUUUCGGGGGGGAUAACGUAGGGAAACUGACGCUACUACCGCAUACGACCUACGGGUGAAAGCAGUGGAUCUUCGGACCUUGCGCGAUUGAAUGAGCCGAUGUCGGAUUAGCUAGUUGGCGGGGUAAAGGCCCACCAAGGCGACGAUCCGUAGCUGGCCUGAGAGGAUGAUCAGCCACACUGGAACUGAGACACGGUCCAGACUCCUACGGGAGGCAGCAGUGGGGAAUAUUGGACAAUGGGCGAAAGCCUGAUCCAGCCAUGCCGCGUGGGUGAAGAAGGCCUUCGGGUUGUAAAGCCCUUUUGUUGGGAAAGAAAAGCAGCAGGUUAAUACCCCGCUGUUCUGACGGUACCCAAAGAAUAAGCACCGGCUAACUUCGUG